AACUUUUGCUCUUGGAAGUUAAUAUCUCGGGUAGUAUUAGUUAAGGGUAAUACUUAGCUAGCUUAAUACGCGUAGUCGUGACUGGAAGGUUGAUCGACCACAGUGGGACUGAAUAAAUCCCAUGACGAUUGUCUCAGCAGUGAGGAAUAUUGGUCAAUAGCCUAACGGCUGAACCAGCAACUUGGAGGAAUGUAUAGCGAAAGCUAGUUGCAUUUAACUUAGCAAAAGCUAAGUUGAUGCAGGAUUGACUAUGUCAAAUAAAGUUCUAGGUGGGCUAUNNNNNNNNNNNNNNCUAUCUAUGUGUCUUGACCAAAUUACGUGCCAGCAGUCGCGGUAACACSUAAAAGACUAGUGUUAUUCAUCUUUAAUAGGUUUAAAGGGUACCUAGACGGUAAAUCAAGUCCAAGAAGGGUACUAAUUUUACUAGAGUUUAAUAUGAGGGGGCACUAAAGUACUGAUAAGUGUAGAGAUGAAAUUCUGUGAUACAAUAUACGGCACUGGUAAAGGCGAAAGCAUCUCAUUAUGUAAUAACUGACGUUGAGGGACGAAGGCUAGGUGUAGCAAAAAGGAUUAGAUACCCAAGUAGUCUUAGCAGAAAAUUAUGAAUGUCAUAGGAUGGAAAG
Molecule: ribosomal RNA, 623 nt
Filed under: Physconia elegantula
Lineage: Eukaryota; Fungi; Ascomycota; Lecanoromycetes; Caliciales; Physciaceae
Description: partial small subunit ribosomal RNA
Rfam family: Bacterial small subunit ribosomal RNA
Source: RNAcentral